This 484-nucleotide ribosomal RNA is filed under the name uncultured bacterium. RNAcentral describes it as "partial 16S ribosomal RNA". It matches the Rfam family "Bacterial small subunit ribosomal RNA", at positions 30 to 507 of the family's 1533-position model. The record is from RNAcentral.
AUUGAACGCUAGCGGGAUGCUUUACGCAUGCAAGUCGAACGGCAGCGCGGACUUCGGUCUGGCGGCGAGUGGCGAACGGGUGAGUAAUGUAUCGGAACGUGCCCAGUAGCGGGGGAUCACUACGCGAAAGCGUAGCUAAUACCGCAUACGCCCUACGGGGGAAAGCAGGGGAUCGUAAGACCUUGCACUAUUGGAGCGGCCGAUAUCGGAUUAGCUAGUUGGUGAGGUAACGGCUCACCAAGGCGACGAUCCGUAGCUGGUUUGAGAGGACGACCAGCCACACUGGGACUGAGACACGGCCCAGACUCCUACGGGAGGCAGCAGUGGGGAAUUUUGGACAAUGGGGGCAACCCUGAUCCAGCCAUCCCGCGUGUGCGAUGAAGGCCUUCGGGUUGUAAAGCACUUUUGGCAGGAAAGAAACGGCGCGGGCUAAUACCCCGUGGAACUGACGGUACCUGCAGAAUAAGCACCGGCUAACUACGUG